CCCCUCCCCGGGGGGGUGGCCAGCGCCCGCCAGAGGACCAUCAAACUCCAGUCAGUAAACGAUGCAGUCUGAAAAACAUUUAAUAAACUAAAACUUUCAACAACGGAUCUCUUGGUUCUGGCAUCGAUGAAGAACGCAGCGAAAUGCGAUAAGUAAUGUGAAUUGCAGAAUUCAGUGAAUCAUCGAAUCUUUGAACGCACAUUGCGCCCUUUGGUAUUCCGAAGGGCAUGCCUGUUCGAGCGUCAUUACAACCCUCAAGCUCUGCUUGGUAUUGGGCACCGUCCUUUGCGGGCGCGCCUCAAAGACCUCGGCGGUGGCGUCUUGCCUCAAGCGUAGUAGAACAUACAUCUCGCUUCGGAGCGCAGGGCGUCGCCCGCCGGACGAACCUUCUGAACUUUCUCAAGGUGACC
Molecule: ribosomal RNA, 410 nt
Filed under: Botryosphaeria dothidea
Lineage: Eukaryota; Fungi; Ascomycota; Dothideomycetes; Botryosphaeriales; Botryosphaeriaceae
Description: eukaryotic LSU rRNA
Rfam family: 5.8S ribosomal RNA (bases 92-245)
Source: RNAcentral